GGAAACGACUGCUAAUACCGCAUAAUGUCUACGGACCAAAGGGGGCUUCGGCUCUCGCCUUUAGAUUGGCCCAAGUGGGAUUAGCUAGUUGGUGAGGUAAUGGCUCACCAAGGCGACGAUCCCUAGCUGGUUUGAGAGGAUGAUCAGCCACACUGGGACUGAGACACGGCCCAGACUCCUACGGGAGGCAGCAGUGGGGAAUAUUGCACAAUGGGCGCAAGCCUGAUGCAGCCAUGCCGCGUGUGUGAAGAAGGCCUUCGGGUUGUAAAGCACUUUCAGUCAGGAGGAAAGGUUAGUAGUUAAUACCUGCUAGCUGUGACGUUACUGACAGAAGAAGCACCGGCUAACUCCGUGCCAGCAGCCGCGGUAAUACGGAGGGUGCGAGCGUUAAUCGGAAUUACUGGGCGUAAAGCGUACGCAGGCGGUUUGUUAAGCGAGAUGUGAAAGCCCCGGGCUCAACCUGGGAACUGCAUUUCGAACUGGCAAACUAGAGUGUGAUAGAGGGUGGUAGAAUUUCAGGUGUAGCGGUGAAAUGCGUAGAGAUCUGAAGGAAUACCGAUGGCGAAGGCAGCCACCUGGGUCAACACUGACGCUCAUGUACGAAAGCGUGGGGAGCAAACGGGAUUAGAUACCCCGGUAGUCCACGCCGUAAACGAUGUCUACUAGAAGCUCGGAGCCUCGGUUCUGUUUUUCAAAGCUAACGCAUUAAGUAGACCGCCUGGGGAGUACGGCCGCAAGGUUAAAACUCAAAUGAAUUGACGGGGGCCCGCACAAGCGGUGGAGCAUGUGGUUUAUUUCGAUGCAACGCGAAGAACCUUACCUACACUUGACAUACAGAGAACUUACCAGAGAUGGUUUGGUGCCUUCGGGAACUCUGAUACAGGUGCUGCAUGGCUGUCGUCAGCUCGGUGUUGUGAGAUGUUGGGUUAAGUCCCGCAACGAGCGCA
RNAcentral lists this ribosomal RNA (947 nucleotides) under Pseudoalteromonas sp. B1. RNAcentral describes it as "bacterial SSU rRNA". It matches the Rfam family "Bacterial small subunit ribosomal RNA", at positions 152 to 1100 of the family's 1533-position model. The record is from RNAcentral. Lineage: Bacteria; Pseudomonadati; Pseudomonadota; Gammaproteobacteria; Alteromonadales; Pseudoalteromonadaceae.